RNAcentral lists this long non-coding RNA (561 nucleotides) under Homo sapiens (human). RNAcentral's name for it is "long non-coding RNA NONHSAT171840.1". The record is from RNAcentral. Lineage: Eukaryota; Metazoa; Chordata; Mammalia; Primates; Hominidae.
UCAUUUUAUUUGCAAAUGUGGAAGGCAUUAUAAAAACCGUGAAUGAUGCCCCCUCCCAUGAGGGAUACAGGGAGAGCCACGUGAAGAGGAUGUUGGGCUUCUUCAAGCUGGCAGGGCACUGAGCUGACUGUCCACCACACUCACCAGGGGCCUUUGUGCAUCCCGUGGGGCAGCUCUGGGAAAGCAGUUUACAGUACAACUAUCUCCUCCAAGUUGGCCAGCAUUGCCUCUGAUACGUGAACAAGAAGUAUUUGGAGGGUUAAUAAAUACAAAUCAACACAUAUACACAUGAAGAGAAAAUGGAUGUAAUAACCAAGGACUGCCUGAGAUGCGGGAACUGAAGCUCAGAAAGGCAAAACAACUUUUCAUGCUCUUCUACCUAAUAAGUCGGAGAACCAAGAUUCAAAUUCUAAAUGCGGGUCUGAUUGAGGCCAAGCAGGACUGGGGCCAAAUACACAAGUUUACACAACAAACACCAGAAGAACCGGAGAAGAAGAUACACAGAGGUGAAGAAAUGGAAGCUCAGAGAAGUUGUGGUGCCUGUUCAAGAUCACUCAGCUG